UUUUUGGAUGAAACAAAAACAAGUGUUCACACUAUGUUUUCUGCUUUUUUGCAUAUCAGUUAUAAAUAAAUGAAGAGUCGCAUCGAUACUCUUUCAGGUGGAUCCAAGCAUUCUAUCAUACUUCGAACACGUUAUACAAGCCAGUGUGACACAUUUAACUAAGCCACACAUAACCAUUGAUAAUAUAUUUUUGCAUAAUCCACCUGGACUAUCGAUGAGUGAAAGCGUAUCACCUGUCAGCAUUCAUAAAGUUCUCCCUUGGACCAUCCAGGAUUGUUCCAACGUUAGCAUAACUAACUGGAAUGAAAUAAAGGAUGAAAAUUACAGUAAACACAAUGUUCUGGAAAUUUUUUUGAGUAGACAAGCGCAAAAAAAAAAGACACCCACAAGCCCUAGUUCCUGAAGCUAAAUGACAGGGCCAGAGGAGUGUUUUUCUUUUAGCUAUAGAGAGAACCUGCCCAUGAUCAUCUAGGUGUCAAAUCUGUAACCAGUAAAAUUACAGGAAUCAGGUAGCAAUGGGUGUCUUUUUCUUCCCUUUCUUGCUGUCAAGUGUUGUUUCCUUUCCGAGUAUCAUUCUUCUAAGAAUAUCUGCUUGCUUUGUGUUUCCCUCAUCAUUGAGGCUCUUAAUUAACUCUUCACAACUCUUGUGAUCUUUCACUCCUCCAUUUUCCAUCAUCUUGCACAAAAUAGAAUAGGCAUUAAGUGUCUUCCCAGCAGCUAAGAGAGAAUCCAGCACCUUAUCAUAACUUGAAAAGUCUAUGUUACAAUUUCGCUCUAAAAUGAAAUCUAACAGCUUCAGAGCUGCAGUAGUUUUUCCUUUCUCACAUAAAACUGAUAAGAGACCAUCGAGAUCAGGUGAAAGACUGUUGUGCAACAACAAUUCAAUUCUUCCGAAGGCCUCCUCAACAUGGCCCCUCAUGAGGAGGGCUUCCAAGAUGGUAGAAAUCAAAUCCAUGUGUUCUUUCACUCCCUUCUCCAACAUGAUUUUCAUCACUCGACUUGCUGUUUGAACCCUUCCAUCACCCAUCAGGCUCUCCAUCACUGAUCUAUACAACAAUGAGUCCGGGUCAUGUCCAUGUUCAAGCAUAUUGUCCAAAGCAGCUUUAGCAUCAGCAGGCUCCCCUUUCUUCAGAUAGCUCUCAACAAGUGAUUUGUGAGCAAUACUGUCAGAAAGAACCUUUCUUCUGCCCAUAAUCUUCAACAGUUCAAAGGCUGAAUCAGGAACCCCUUCUCUUGAGUGCCCACAGACAAGAUUGUUAAAGGCAAUAGGAUCUUGAAUCCCAGUUUUCAUCAACUGUCUAAAAAGAGUUUCAGCCUUGCCUGUCUGGCCAUUAUUGCAUAGGUAAUCAAUAAUCAGGUUAUAUGCACUUGUUUCCAUAGACGAACUACUCUGCGGUCGCAGGACGAUUUCUUUCUCAAUAAGCUUAUCCAGAAAUUUGACAGCUCGAUCAUAGAUACCAGCCUUGCAGAAAUUCUCGAUUAGUACACCAUAAUGUCCAGCCUCUGUGGGAACACUUAACCUAAUCAUAGUUUUCAGAACAUCAGCUGCAGCAUCUAAAUCACCUGCCUCACACUGUCCAGAGAUUAACCUUAUGAAGAUAGAGUUAUCCUUGGGUGCAAUAUACCUCUCUUCCAUCUCUUUCAAAAUCGUUCCAGCUUCAGACAUUUUCUGAGCAUCACAAAGCCCUGGUAACAAGGUCGAAUAAGUAAUAGCAUUUGGUUUAAUACCAAAACUCUUCAUCUCUUCAAACAAUUUCAAUGCAUCAUCUAUUCGCUCAACCGCACUAUAUCCUUUAAUAAGUGUUGUAUAACUGAUGACAUUCGGCUCUAUAUUUCUUGCUUUCAUUUCCACAAAGUACUUCUCUGCUUCUUCUAUUUUCUUCACGCGGUUAUACCCAUUAAUCAUAGUAUUAUAAGUUACUACAUCGGGCAUAAUCCCCUUACCCUUCAUAUCCUCAAAAAACCUAAUUGCAGUAUCC
RNAcentral lists this unclassified non-coding RNA (1979 nucleotides) under Hevea brasiliensis (rubber tree). The record is from RNAcentral. Lineage: Eukaryota; Viridiplantae; Streptophyta; Magnoliopsida; Malpighiales; Euphorbiaceae.